This 326-nucleotide ribosomal RNA is filed under the name uncultured eukaryote. Its description in RNAcentral is "partial 18S ribosomal RNA". It matches the Rfam family "Eukaryotic small subunit ribosomal RNA", at positions 1470 to 1796 of the family's 1831-position model. The record is from RNAcentral.
CCCUUAGAUGUCCCGGGCCGCACGCGCGCUACACUGAUGCAUUCAACGAGCCUAUCCUUGACCGACAGGUCCGGGUAAUCUUUGAAUCUGCAUCGUGACGGGGAUAGAUUAUUGCAAUUAUUAAUCUUCAACGAGGAGUGCCUAGUAGGCGCAAGUCAUCAGCUUGCGUCGAUUACGUCCCUGCCCUUUGUACACACCGCCCGUCGCUCCUACCGAUUGAAUGGUCCGGUGAAGCGUUCGGACCGUGGCCUUUGGACGGUUCGCCGUCUGUUGGCUGCGGGAAGUUCGUUAAACCUUAUCAUUUAGAGGAAGGAGAAGUCGUAACA